CCAUCAAAAACCCCUCUCUGCCUCCUCACCCCUUUCCGCCUCAUCUCCGGCAACCACCGUGCUAUCGUAGCCUAGAAUUAUCUUCCCAAAUUAGCCAGAUUCUCUUCAUCACUAAUCUCCUGUAUUUUUUUGUCCUGGAAGUUGUUGGCUCGCUUGCCGUCGGAUUACUCCAUUAUCAGCCACAGCCUGCCGCCGCCGCCGCCACCUCUAGUGAGUUCCUUUUCCUCCACUUGGUCUUUCUCUUGGCCAUGGAAGU
This 256-nucleotide long non-coding RNA is filed under the name Elaeis guineensis (African oil palm). Its description in RNAcentral is "long non-coding RNA (EGUI_LNC008643)". The record is from RNAcentral. Lineage: Eukaryota; Viridiplantae; Streptophyta; Magnoliopsida; Arecales; Arecaceae.